RNAcentral lists this ribosomal RNA (253 nucleotides) under uncultured bacterium. RNAcentral describes it as "partial 16S ribosomal RNA". It matches the Rfam family "Bacterial small subunit ribosomal RNA", at positions 524 to 776 of the family's 1533-position model. The record is from RNAcentral.
UACGGAGGGUGCAAACGUUAAUCGGAUUUAUUGGGCGUAAAGGGCGCGUAGGCGGGUUUAUAAGUCAGAUGUGAAAGCCCGGAGCUCAACUCCGGAAUAGCAUUUGAAACUAUUUACCUCGAGGGUAGGCGGAGAAAACGGAAUUCCACAAGUAGCGGUGAAAUGCGUAGAUAUGUGGAAGAACACCUGUGGUGAAGGCGGUUUUCUAGCUUAUACCUGACGCUGAGGCGCGAAAGCAAGGGGAGCAAACAGG